RNAcentral lists this ribosomal RNA (402 nucleotides) under uncultured Eubacteriales bacterium. Its description in RNAcentral is "bacterial SSU rRNA". It matches the Rfam family "Bacterial small subunit ribosomal RNA", at positions 355 to 774 of the family's 1533-position model. Lineage: Bacteria; Bacillati; Bacillota; Clostridia; Eubacteriales. The record is from RNAcentral.
UGGGGAAUAUUGCACAAUGGGGGAAACCCUGAUGCAGCGACGCCGCGUGAGUGAAGAAGUAUUUCGGUAUGUAAAGCUCUAUCAGCAGGGAAGAAAAUGACGGUACCUGACUAAGAAGCCCCGGCUAACUACGUGCCAGCAGCCGCGGUAAUACGUAGGGGGCAAGCGUUAUCCGGAUUUACUGGGUGUAAAGGGAGCGUAGACGGCAGAGCAAGUCUGAAGUGAAAGCCCGCGGCUCAACUGCGGGACUGCUUUGGAAACUGCCCGGCUAGAGUGCUGGAGAGGUAAGCGGAAUUCCUAGUGUAGCGGUGAAAUGCGUAGAUAUUAGGAGGAACACCAGUGGCGAAGGCGGCUUACUGGACAGUAACUGACGUUGAGGCUCGAAAGCGUGGGGAGCAAACA